CAGCCAAGUCGUGAGGCGGAGCUAAUCCCUUAAAGCCAUUCUCAGUUCGGAUUGUAGGCUGAAACUCGCCUACAUGAAGCUGGAGUUACCAGUAAUCGCAGAUCAGAAUGCUGCGGUGAAUGCGUUCCCGGGUCUUGUACACACCGCCCGUCACACCACGGAAGUUGGGGGCGCCCGAAGCCACUUAGCUAACCCUUUUGGGAAGCGAGUGUCGAAGGUGAAAUCAAUAACUGGGGUGAAGUCGUAACAAGGUACC
Molecule: ribosomal RNA, 256 nt
Filed under: uncultured bacterium
Lineage: Bacteria
Description: partial 16S ribosomal RNA
Rfam family: Bacterial small subunit ribosomal RNA
Source: RNAcentral